UGGGGAAUAUUGCACAAUGGGCGCAAGCCUGAUGCAGCGACGCCGCGUGGGGGAUGACGGCCUUCGGGUUGUAAACCUCUUUCGACAGGGACGAAGCUUUGGUGACGGUACCUGUAUAAGAAGCACCGGCUAACUACGUGCCAGCAGCCGCGGUAAUACGUAGGGUGCGAGCGUUGUCCGGAAUUACUGGGCGUAAAGAGCUCGUAGGUGGUUUGUCGCGUCGUCUGUGAAAUUCCGGGGCUUAACUUCGGGCGUGCAGGCGAUACGGGCAUAACUUGAGUGCUGUAGGGGAGACUGGAAUUCCUGGUGUAGCGGUGGAAUGCGCAGAUAUCAGGAGGAACACCGAUGGCGAAGGCAGGUCUCUGGGCAGUAACUGACGCUGAGGAGCGAAAGCAUGGGGAGCGAACAGG
This 410-nucleotide ribosomal RNA is filed under the name Fusobacteriota bacterium. RNAcentral describes it as "Fusobacteria bacterium partial 16S ribosomal RNA". It matches the Rfam family "Bacterial small subunit ribosomal RNA", at positions 355 to 776 of the family's 1533-position model. RNAcentral also lists the same sequence under 3 other names. The record is from RNAcentral. Lineage: Bacteria; Fusobacteriati; Fusobacteriota.